Molecule: ribosomal RNA, 427 nt
Filed under: uncultured bacterium
Lineage: Bacteria
Description: partial 16S ribosomal RNA
Rfam family: Bacterial small subunit ribosomal RNA
Source: RNAcentral
UGGGGAAUAUUGCACAAUGGGCGCAAGCCUGAUGCAGCCAUGCCGCGUGUAUGAAGAAGGCCUUCGGGUUGUAAAGUACUUUCAGUGGGGAGGAAGGGAGUAAAGUUAAUACCUUUGCUCAUUGACGUUACCCGCAGAAGAAGCACCGGCUAACUCCGUGCCAGCAGCCGCGGUAAUACGGAGGGUGCAAGCGUUAAUCGGAAUUACUGGGCGUAAAGCGCACGCAGGCGGUUUGUUAAGUCAGAUGUGAAAUCCCCGGGCUCAACCUGGGAACUGCAUCUGAUACUGGCAAGCUUGAGUCUCGUAGAGGGGGGUAGAAUUCCAGGUGUAGCGGUGAAAUGCGUAGAGAUCUGGAGGAAUACCGGUGGCGAAGGCGGCCCCCUGGACGAAGACUGACGCUCAGGUGCGAAAGCGUGGGGAGCAAACA